GUGUAUGAGUGUGUAUUUUUAUUUUCCAUCUAGUAGUGGGUCCUUGCCAACUAUUCGCUUUAAUAGCACAGGAAUAGUUCCCACUGUAGUUCAUUACACCGUUAGGAUCCUCGUUUAAUGCCUCAUAAGCAGAAGUAACAGCAGAAAAAAAUAAAAUAAAAUAAAAAAGAAGUAACAGCAGAAGUAAUAGUAAGUUAUAGCAGUAACAGUUAAUAUCACUUUGCAUCUAAGGACAAAUUAUCUUUAUUCUUUCAUCAAACAAACAAAAAAUACUUAAUCCAAUGUUUCCUUUUAUUUCCUGCCCUAUUAGGACAUUUUGACUAAACUUAGCACUUGAGAGAAGUAAUUAGGCCAGUGCCUAUUUCAGAAAAACAAUGGGUGUAGAUUCAUGAAAUCAAAUCUACUAGAAAGUAAGCCAAUUAAAAGAGAAAACUAAAACAAUUAAAAGCGGUGGAAAGAAAAGUGCCACCAGCAGAAGAAUAUCUUAAUUACUGCUCCCGAGUGCUAAGUUUAGUGAGAUCCUUGAUAAUAAAUGAUUAUAACAGAUAUGAGUGGGAAUUCUUCUUGACUCCUGUCACUCCACAGCUCUCCAUGUGAAUGGGAUGAACUGACUGGCCGUGCCGGGGGGCACCUUCCUCAAAGUUUAAUUCCAUCCUACUCAAAGAAGAAAGCAUUUCCAAAGACAGGAGAUUCUGUUUUUCCAUCAAGAGUAUUGAGCAGCUAGAAAUUCCAAGUAAGUUCUUGAGGUCCACUUGGAGACCUUAACAGAGUGAAGCAUCCGUAUAACAGGAAAGGAAACACAUGGUUGUAGGUGACCUGAUUAAGAGAAUCACGAAAUCCACAGCAGGUGAGAGUUGCAGAGGUCUGUAGAAGUCAUCAGUUUCGACACCCCCAUUUUACAAAAGACAAAAGAGACUUGGAUGGGGCUGUCUCCGCCCUCACGUUGGUCACCAGUAGCACUGUGGCGAGAAUCCAGCCUGGAUAACUCAUACGACAACUAGCACAGGGCCUGGCUUAUGGGGCGAAAUACACGAAUGUUAUUUUCAAUCCCUUGUCCUGCCCCAGUGACCUUGCUAUGUGGCGAGAGAACCAAUCAGUGGAAAUACAUUAAUGCCGUUGUCUUGGGACGGGCCUGUGUGACUACAGCUCAGUGGAUGUUUAGACAUUAGUAUCAAAAGGAAAGUAUGCCCAAAUGAGUGAUUAGUCACCCUGCAGUCUUGACCUGAAUAGCAAAUUAGGCUCCGGGCAGGGAUUAAGACGCUGACACCUGUGCCCUCCAGGCCCUCAAUUGUGCUGAUUGCUGUUCACUUGCGGCCCCCCCCC
This 1323-nucleotide long non-coding RNA is filed under the name Canis lupus familiaris (dog). Its description in RNAcentral is "lncRNA (ENSCAFG00000056885.1, ENSCAFG00845019861.1)". Lineage: Eukaryota; Metazoa; Chordata; Mammalia; Carnivora; Canidae. The record is from RNAcentral.